RNAcentral lists this ribosomal RNA (2799 nucleotides) under Staphylococcus aureus M0791. RNAcentral describes it as "bacterial LSU rRNA". It matches the Rfam family "Bacterial large subunit ribosomal RNA". Lineage: Bacteria; Bacillati; Bacillota; Bacilli; Caryophanales; Staphylococcaceae. The record is from RNAcentral.
UUAAGUUAUUAAGGGCGCACGGUGGAUGCCUUGGCACUAGAAGCCGAUGAAGGACGUUACUAACGACGAUAUGCUUUGGGGAGCUGUAAGUAAGCUUUGAUCCAGAGAUUUCCGAAUGGGGAAACCCAGCAUGAGUUAUGUCAUGUUAUCGAUAUGUGAAUACAUAGCAUAUCAGAAGGCACACCCGGAGAACUGAAACAUCUUAGUACCCGGAGGAAGAGAAAGAAAAUUCGAUUCCCUUAGUAGCGGCGAGCGAAACGGGAAGAGCCCAAACCAACAAGCUUGCUUGUUGGGGUUGUAGGACACUCUAUACGGAGUUACAAAGGACGACAUUAGACGAAUCAUCUGGAAAGAUGAAUCAAAGAAGGUAAUAAUCCUGUAGUCGAAAAUGUUGUCUCUCUUGAGUGGAUCCUGAGUACGACGGAGCACGUGAAAUUCCGUCGGAAUCUGGGAGGACCAUCUCCUAAGGCUAAAUACUCUCUAGUGACCGAUAGUGAACCAGUACCGUGAGGGAAAGGUGAAAAGCACCCCGGAAGGGGAGUGAAAUAGAACCUGAAACCGUGUGCUUACAAGUAGUCAGAGCCCGUUAAUGGGUGAUGGCGUGCCUUUUGUAGAAUGAACCGGCGAGUUACGAUUUGAUGCAAGGUUAAGCAGUAAAUGUGGAGCCGUAGCGAAAGCGAGUCUGAAUAGGGCGUUUAGUAUUUGGUCGUAGACCCGAAACCAGGUGAUCUACCCUUGGUCAGGUUGAAGUUCAGGUAACACUGAAUGGAGGACCGAACCGACUUACGUUGAAAAGUGAGCGGAUGAACUGAGGGUAGCGGAGAAAUUCCAAUCGAACCUGGAGAUAGCUGGUUCUCUCCGAAAUAGCUUUAGGGCUAGCCUCAAGUGAUGAUUAUUGGAGGUAGAGCACUGUUUGGACGAGGGGCCCCUCUCGGGUUACCGAAUUCAGACAAACUCCGAAUGCCAAUUAAUUUAACUUGGGAGUCAGAACAUGGGUGAUAAGGUCCGUGUUCGAAAGGGAAACAGCCCAGACCACCAGCUAAGGUCCCAAAAUAUAUGUUAAGUGGAAAAGGAUGUGGCGUUGCCCAGACAACUAGGAUGUUGGCUUAGAAGCAGCCAUCAUUUAAAGAGUGCGUAAUAGCUCACUAGUCGAGUGACACUGCGCCGAAAAUGUACCGGGGCUAAACAUAUUACCGAAGCUGUGGAUUGUCCUUUGGACAAUGGUAGGAGAGCGUUCUAAGGGCGUUGAAGCAUGAUCGUAAGGACAUGUGGAGCGCUUAGAAGUGAGAAUGCCGGUGUGAGUAGCGAAAGACGGGUGAGAAUCCCGUCCACCGAUUGACUAAGGUUUCCAGAGGAAGGCUCGUCCGCUCUGGGUUAGUCGGGUCCUAAGCUGAGGCCGACAGGCGUAGGCGAUGGAUAACAGGUUGAUAUUCCUGUACCACCUAUAAUCGUUUUAAUCGAUGGGGGGACGCAGUAGGAUAGGCGAAGCGUGCGAUUGGAUUGCACGUCUAAGCAGUAAGGCUGAGUAUUAGGCAAAUCCGGUACUCGUUAAGGCUGAGCUGUGAUGGGGAGAAGACAUUGAGUCUUCGAGUCGUUGAUUUCACACUGCCGAGAAAAGCCUCUAGAUAGAAAAUAGGUGCCCGUACCGCAAACCGACACAGGUAGUCAAGAUGAGAAUUCUAAGGUGAGCGAGCGAACUCUCGUUAAGGAACUCGGCAAAAUGACCCCGUAACUUCGGGAGAAGGGGUGCUCUUUAGGGUUAACGCCCAGAAGAGCCGCAGUGAAUAGGCCCAAGCGACUGUUUAUCAAAAACACAGGUCUCUGCUAAACCGUAAGGUGAUGUAUAGGGGCUGACGCCUGCCCGGUGCUGGAAGGUUAAGAGGAGUGGUUAGCUUCUGCGAAGCUACGAAUCGAAGCCCCAGUAAACGGCGGCCGUAACUAUAACGGUCCUAAGGUAGCGAAAUUCCUUGUCGGGUAAGUUCCGACCCGCACGAAAGGCGUAACGAUUUGGGCACUGUCUCAACGAGAGACUCGGUGAAAUCAUAGUACCUGUGAAGAUGCAGGUUACCCGCGACAGGACGGAAAGACCCCGUGGAGCUUUACUGUAGCCUGAUAUUGAAAUUCGGCACAGCUUGUACAGGAUAGGUAGGAGCCUUUGAAACGUGAGCGCUAGCUUACGUGGAGGCGCUGGUGGGAUACUACCCUAGCUGUGUUGGCUUUCUAACCCGCACCACUUAUCGUGGUGGGAGACAGUGUCAAGCGGGCAGUUUGACUGGGGCGGUCGCCUCCUAAAAGGUAACGGAGGCGCUCAAAGGUUCCCUCAGAAUGGUUGGAAAUCAUUCAUAGAGUGUAAAGGCAUAAGGGAGCUUGACUGCGAGACCUACAAGUCGAGCAGGGUCGAAAGACGGACUUAGUGAUCCGGUGGUUCCGCAUGGAAGGGCCAUCGCUCAACGGAUAAAAGCUACCCCGGGGAUAACAGGCUUAUCUCCCCCAAGAGUUCACAUCGACGGGGAGGUUUGGCACCUCGAUGUCGGCUCAUCGCAUCCUGGGGCUGUAGUCGGUCCCAAGGGUUGGGCUGUUCGCCCAUUAAAGCGGUACGCGAGCUGGGUUCAGAACGUCGUGAGACAGUUCGGUCCCUAUCCGUCGUGGGCGUAGGAAAUUUGAGAGGAGCUGUCCUUAGUACGAGAGGACCGGGAUGGACAUACCUCUGGUGUACCAGUUGUCGUGCCAACGGCAUAGCUGGGUAGCUAUGUGUGGACGGGAUAAGUGCUGAAAGCAUCUAAGCAUGAAGCCCCCCUC